RNAcentral lists this transfer RNA (67 nucleotides) under Ceratocombus japonicus. Its description in RNAcentral is "tRNA-Ser". It matches the Rfam family "tRNA". From Rfam's summary of the family: Transfer RNA (tRNA) molecules are approximately 80 nucleotides in length. Their secondary structure includes four short double-helical elements and three loops (D, anti-codon, and T loops). The record is from RNAcentral. Lineage: Eukaryota; Metazoa; Arthropoda; Insecta; Hemiptera; Ceratocombidae.
AGUCUUAAAGCUUUUAAUGCAUAUAUUUUGAAAAUAUAAGAAAGAGGUUAAAAUCCUCUAUAGACUU